This 71-nucleotide transfer RNA is filed under the name Marmota monax (woodchuck). RNAcentral's name for it is "tRNA.Gly". It matches the Rfam family "tRNA". Rfam says of the family: Transfer RNA (tRNA) molecules are approximately 80 nucleotides in length. Their secondary structure includes four short double-helical elements and three loops (D, anti-codon, and T loops). Further hydrogen bonds mediate the characteristic L-shaped molecular structure. tRNAs have two regions of fundamental functional importance: the anti-codon, which is responsible for specific mRNA codon recognition, and the 3' end, to which the tRNAs corresponding amino acid is attached (by aminoacyl-tRNA synthetases). tRNAs cope with the degeneracy of the genetic code in two manners: having more than one tRNA (with a specific anti-codon) for a particular amino acid; and 'wobble' base-pairing, i.e. permitting non-standard base-pairing at the 3rd anti-codon position. Lineage: Eukaryota; Metazoa; Chordata; Mammalia; Rodentia; Sciuridae. The record is from RNAcentral.
GGGGUGUAGCUCAGUGGUAGAGUGCUUGCCUACCAUGCAGGAGGCCCUGGGUUUGAUUUCCAGCACCACCA